UUAAUUGAAACCAAAAUAGAGGUAUAUUAAUGUUAAUAAUAAAAUUGAAAUAUUAAAAUUUCCAAUUAAA
This 70-nucleotide transfer RNA is filed under the name Leptocimbex sp. Its description in RNAcentral is "tRNA-Asn". The record is from RNAcentral. Lineage: Eukaryota; Metazoa; Arthropoda; Insecta; Hymenoptera; Cimbicidae.